CACGUAGGGGGCAAGCGUUGUCCGGAUUUAUUGGGCGUAAAGAGCGUGUAGGCGGCCAGACAGGUCUGCUGUGAAAACUCGAGGCUCAACCUCGAGAUGUCGGCGGAAACCGUCUGGCUAGAGUCCGGAAGAGGAGACUGGAAUUCCUGGUGUAGCGGUGGAAUGCGCAGAUAUCAGGAGGAACACCGAUGGCGAAGGCAGGUCUCUGGGCCGCAACUGACGCUGAGGAGCGAAAGCAUGGGGAGCGAACAGG
Molecule: ribosomal RNA, 253 nt
Filed under: uncultured bacterium
Lineage: Bacteria
Description: partial 16S ribosomal RNA
Rfam family: Bacterial small subunit ribosomal RNA
Source: RNAcentral